This 484-nucleotide ribosomal RNA is filed under the name uncultured bacterium. Its description in RNAcentral is "partial 16S ribosomal RNA". It matches the Rfam family "Bacterial small subunit ribosomal RNA", at positions 29 to 523 of the family's 1533-position model. The record is from RNAcentral.
AGUGUACGCUGGCGGCGUGCUUAACACAUGCAAGUCGAACGAGAACGGGUUAUAGCUUGCUAUAAUUGUCAGCUAAGUGGCGCACGGGUGAGUAAUGUAUAGGUAAUAUGCCUCUUACUAAGGGAUAACAAAUGGAAACGUUUGCUAAUACCUUAUACUCCUUAUUAACAGAAGUUAAUAAGGGAAAGAUUUAUUGGUAAGAGAUUAGCCUGUAUUGUACCAGUUAGUUGGUGGGGUAAUGGCUUACCAAGACUAUGACACAUAACUGGUUUGAGAGGAUGAUCAGUCACACUGGAACUGAGACACGGUCCAGACUCCUACGGGAGGCAGCAGUGGGGAAUAUUGCACAAUGGACGAAAGUCUGAUGCAGCAACGCCGCGUGGAGGAUGACACAUUUCGGUGCGUAAACUCCUUUUAUAUGAGAAGAUAAUGACGGUAUUAUAUGAAUAAGCACCGGCUAACUCCGUGCCAGCCGCCGCAGUAA